This 348-nucleotide long non-coding RNA is filed under the name Homo sapiens (human). RNAcentral's name for it is "HSALNT0083542". Lineage: Eukaryota; Metazoa; Chordata; Mammalia; Primates; Hominidae. The record is from RNAcentral.
AACACACACAUCACACACCACAGAUACCACACAACUCCUACCACACGCCACACAUCACACACCACAUACACAAUACACCGCAGAUACCACACAACUCAUACCACACGCCACACAUCACACACCACAUACACAAUACACCACACACACAUCACACACUACAGACACCACACAACUCAUACCACACGCCACACAUCACACACCACCUGCAUCACACACCACACACACAACACACACAUCACACACCACAGAUACCACACAACUCAUACCACACGCCACACAUCACACACCACCUGCAUCACACACCACGCACACAACACACAUCACACACCACAGAUACCACACAACUCA